GUAACAGUGCCUGUCACCUCAACAGUGCUCUGUGAAAACCCAGCAAGCGACCGAGCGUCCCACACCGCAGCCCCGCUCGCCGCAGCCGGCUCGCCUCUCCGGGGCUGUGGCUCUGGGCACCCACUCUGCCCAGCACUGGCCCACCCGCCUGCCACAGCCGCGGCCCCUCCCUGGGGACUGUCACCUCCAGUAGCUUGGCUAUGAGGGCUGCGUAGAGCACCGACAGGGGGCCCAGCAGCUCGGGGUCCCCCGGGGAGGCGGUGACAGCAGGCACAGUGGCAGGCACUGAGUCCAUCGCGUAGGGGCAGCUGCGCGGAGGCGACGCUUCCUGCGGACGGCACCGAGCCGGCUUUCACCGCUUCUGCCUCGGGAAGGACCGGCUCAGGGGGGCGGACACUGGGAAUGAACUUCGCCUUCCCGGAUCGCGGCCCCUUCCGCACUUGGCCUCCCGUAAAACACGUCAUCAGACGCUGCCCAGCAGCCCACGUCAACGCACCCCGGAAGCCUGCGUGCGGGGGCGGGGCUAGCGCGGAACAAACCAACCGCCGAGCUCGGCUGGGGGAGACGACGCGCUGAACGGAAGGAUUCCAAGUGUCAGCCAACAACUGACCCAUGAAGCCGACCUGUGGUGCUGCUCCCCUAAGCAAAGAAGAACUCAUCACCUUCCAGUAGGUGAGGCUGUGUCUUAGUGUCCACCCAUCCAGCACCUCCCGGACUGCACAUUUCAAGCACACCCACAAAGCCUGGCUUUUAAAAAUAUGUCAGCAUCCUAAUUCAGAUGGGACUGAGCGAGAGGCCAGACUAAUGGAAAUUGAGGCUGGGAAUUCUUCUCAAAUUGGAAACGGCACUGUUUCUGGUUCCCUCCUUAGACUCUUGGGGAUGUAUAGUAAUAUAUCAAGGACAGCCGAUAUCUUUAUGUAUUGCUUAUUAUUUAUGAAUGAUAUGCACACUGCGUGACACUUUUCGUGACACCUGACACCCUCCCACCACUGAGCACUUCCUACCAGGCAACACAGACCCGGGCUCUAUCAUUGCCUAUUGGGUUUGGUUGCAUUUGUUUGGACACCGGCCACUUCUCAAGUUAUAUUACAGCCUGGAACUCUUCCAAGCAGGGGUCUCAGUUCUGAAGCAGCCCCAGGGAUACUAUCCUCCCAAGUUUUGAGGAACUCGGGUGAGAGUGUGUUUGAAAGCAAAGAACAGAAAACACUGAGCAAUAUUCAAAAUUGCAAUAGCUGGUUUGUUAAUAGAAAAAUGAAAGAGAAAAUUCACAAUGGUGGCUCCACCUUUAUUUUAUUUACAACGUUUAUUUACACUGGCCCUGGGCUACCUCUAGGACCUAGAAUCUAGGUGAAAUAAAUUAC
Peromyscus eremicus (cactus mouse) is the source of this 1361-nucleotide long non-coding RNA. RefSeq lists it as uncharacterized. NCBI's taxonomy places the organism in Eukaryota, Metazoa, Chordata, Mammalia, Rodentia, Cricetidae. The record is from RefSeq and is a predicted model, not a curated record. The transcript has 4 exons.